This 640-nucleotide ribosomal RNA is filed under the name uncultured bacterium. RNAcentral's name for it is "bacterial SSU rRNA". It matches the Rfam family "Bacterial small subunit ribosomal RNA", at positions 60 to 716 of the family's 1533-position model. The record is from RNAcentral.
AGACGGAGAUUCGUCAAGCCUUUAUUGACUUAUUGGCGGACGGGUGAGUAACGCGUGAGCAACCUGCCUUUCAGAGGGGGACAACAGUUGGAAACGACUGCUAAUACCGCAUAAUGUACAGAGGGGGCAUCCCUUUUGUAUCAAAGGAGAAAUCCGCUGAAAGAUGGGCUCACGUCUGAUUAGCUAGUUGGUGGGGUAAAGGCCUACCAAGGCUGCGAUCAGUAGCCGGACUGAGAGGUUGAACGGCCACAUUGGGACUGAGAUACGGCCCAGACUCCUACGGGAGGCAGCAGUGGGGAAUAUUGGGCAAUGGGCGAAAGCCUGACCCAGCAACGCCGCGUGAAGGAAGAAGGUCUUCGGAUUGUAAACUUCUUUUAUGAGGGACGAAGGAAGUGACGGUACCUCAUGAAUAAGCCACGGCUAACUACGUGCCAGCAGCCGCGGUAAUACGUAGGUGGCAAGCGUUAUCCGGAUUUACUGGGUGUAAAGGGCGCGUAGGCGGGGAUGCAAGUCAGAUGUGAAAUCUAUGGGCUUAACCCAUAAACUGCAUUUGAAACUGUAUCUCUUGAGUGUCGGAGAGGUAGAUGGAAUUCCUUGUGUAGCGGUGAAAUGCGUAGAUAUAAGGAAGAACACCAGCGGC